CAGUAGCCGCGGUAAUACAGAGGGUGCGAGCGUUAAUCGGAUUUACUGGGCGUAAAGCGUGCGUAGGCGGCUUUUUAAGUCGGAUGUGAAAUCCCUGAGCUUAACUUAGGAAUUGCAUUCGAUACUGGGAAGCUAGAGUAUGGGAGAGGAUGGUAGAAUUCCAGGUGUAGCGGUGAAAUGCGUAGAGAUCUGGAGGAAUACCGAUGGCGAAGGCAGCCAUCUGGCCUAAUACUGACGCUGAGGUACGAAAGCAUGGGGAGCAAACAGGAUUAGAUACUCCGGUAGUCCCUGUCUCUUAUAC
RNAcentral lists this ribosomal RNA (301 nucleotides) under uncultured bacterium. Its description in RNAcentral is "partial 16S ribosomal RNA". It matches the Rfam family "Bacterial small subunit ribosomal RNA", at positions 509 to 807 of the family's 1533-position model. The record is from RNAcentral.